This 520-nucleotide long non-coding RNA is filed under the name Canis lupus familiaris (dog). RNAcentral describes it as "lncRNA (ENSCAFG00030006001.1)". The record is from RNAcentral. Lineage: Eukaryota; Metazoa; Chordata; Mammalia; Carnivora; Canidae.
ACAUCACGUUUCUCCCACGGGGCCGGGAAGUGUCACAGGGCCUCGAUGGGGGAUGAAGGCUGCCUUAGGUCUAAAACGAGGUCGUGCUCUACUUUGGGAAGUGGAAGGCGGGGGGGGGGGGGGGGGGGGGGGGGGCACAGUAUCCGACACCCCGAGCGCGGAGGAAGCGCGUGCACCGGGCCGGCUGCAGGCUGAGCCCUGGAUCUGGGCCGUGGGGGCAGCCAGGGCGGCGGUCCCGGCCAGCCCCGAAGGCCACCCACACUGCUGGGCUUUUACCUUGGAGGAUGUGGGACAGAGCGGUCUGGACUCCGACCACCGCGGCAGACAGGCCCUGACCCCGGGAGCAGGCCAGGUGGAGGCGGACGCCACAGAGGACGCAUGUUGCUUGGUAGGAAUGGGGAUGAACCGUGAGAUGCCGACGUCUCCCUCAGCUCGAAGGUUUCAUGUGCACAUGCUGCACUGUCCCACGUGGAUUAGAGGACACUGCCCCCCUCGCCCCUGCCUCCCAGCCUCUGACUGA